Molecule: long non-coding RNA, 1839 nt
Organism: Anopheles gambiae (African malaria mosquito)
Lineage: Eukaryota; Metazoa; Arthropoda; Insecta; Diptera; Culicidae
Exons: 3
Source: RefSeq, a predicted model, not a curated record
GUUUCUACAACCACAUCCACAUGUUUCUACAUCCACAUGCCGUAGGUCUGAGAACAUAAACAACCUCUUACCGAACUGUCAAAAUUUUCCCACAGCUGCUUGUCAAUUUACACUGGAUGCUUCAACCUCUAUCCUCAACUAACCUUGGUUCCGAGCAUGCGGUUUUUGCAACGGCCAUUUCGUACCACCCCAAGCGAGUGAAAAAGUCACUUUUCGGCUGUGUUUUCGAUUGAUAUUUCGUGCACGAUUUGACAAACGAAAUAGUGUACGAAAUUCAGACUUUUUUCGGCACAUACCCAAACGAGUGAAAAUGUCACUUUUCGGCUGUUUUUUCGAUUGAUAUUUCGUGCACGAUUUGACAAACGAAACAGUGUACGAGAUUCAGAUUUUUUUCGGCACAUAACCACAACAGCGUGCAAUGGCAUAUUUGCUAUCUUCAUUGCACGUCUAGCGUUACACAUUUUGAGGUUAAAUAGUUUUUAAAUUGUUGGUAUUUAUAUGAAUGAUACGAUACGAAAGAACACAACUGAUGCAAGCUAAACGUAAUACACAAAAAGAAAUACACAUAACCUGCUUCAACGCUUGGCUUGGAGAGCGAAAUGUUACGAAUGGAAGAACCACACAUACAAUCAUAUAUUGCUUGUCAAAUUAUGAGAGUGUAUAAGUUAUCGUCCGAAAAUUUCCGCUUGGGACUUCGAUCUCAUCACCUUCUCUCCCCUCCCACCUUCCUUUUUGAUCCACACUUUGGGGCUUGCAAAUUUUUGACAUGUCAAAUGAGAGUGAAGCCAAAAUGUAAACAGCAAGUGUUUGCGUGUGCGGUGAUUUUAAUAAACAUAAAAUCAACCACGGAAGUAUGAUUUAGUUGUGGUGGAAGCGAAAAAAAAUGCUUGAGUAUGGAAUAAAACCGGAUGAAAUUUCUAGCCUUCACGCACGAUGCCGACGCUGAGGUAAGGUGUGCUUGUGUUUAAUUUCGAUGAUUGUUUCAUUUUAGGGUGUGAUUUUUCAGAUAUAACUGUUCCUGGCGGGGAUAGUCAAUAGUCAAUGCCCUCUGCAGCUGUGAAGGGAUGCAGAAAAAGGGGCUCACUACCACCCUUCCCACACUCGGACGCAUUUUCCGGGGAUGAAGGAUAUGUUCCUGGCUAUAUGCGCAAAAUCUAACGGUAACCCGUGUUGUGAACGAAUCGGCAUAUGCGGUGCCGGACACUGUGGAAAUUGUACACAACGGGACGAUGUCCAGGCACGACACUAGAGUACGAUUACAUGCAACUGAUCUGCUCAGCGUGCCACCUGAUGCUGGCGUUCGGCAAGACACAGAAGGAAAGGAUUUCGACGUGUGGAACAAGGAUGUGCUGAAUGCGUUCCUGAUCGAUAUCACGUGGAUCAUUCUACUGCGACUAGUUGACGGAAAUUGUCGCAUUGUACCAUAGCGUUCCGGUGAUGCCAAAAGACUAAGCAGACUUCUCCAGCUACUUAUCCACGCCGAAGGAUGACCGUGCUCAGGGCAGCAAACAACUCGCCGGAGCACGGAGCACGAAAGGCAUCGUACGCGCAAGGCUUCAUGCUGCUGCCCGAAGCGGCCAACGAGUAAAAAAGGAACCUGAACUACGGUUGCUCCUCGGCAACAUUUGAAACGAGAUUGUAAACAAUUCGCAUCGUACCAUCCAUCUUAUCAUGCGUAUUCCAUAAAAUUAUUCUGCAGUUAUGAAGCGGCUGACAUUAACUUGUUAUAAGGUUACCAAAACUGAAUUGAUGUAAGGCUUCAUGGUUCAGUAUUUGGCCGAAAACGUACGUACUAGUUCAUUGAACUAUAUAAAAAACAUCAAACCAGCACGCUGUUGC